ACCGCCACGGUGACUUGCAAGCAACUCACUGCACUUAAGCACUGGACUAUCUGAAUUUCUAAUUCAGUGACGAAAGGCUGCUGGGUGUAGUCAAGUACUUGACUUGUCGGUGCGUGUGUCAAGAUGGGAUUGACCACUCCAGUUUAGGAGCUGUGUACAGUCGUGUUUCAAUUUAGCAAAAUCUUGGUCAGGGUAGUCUUUGUGAGGAGUCACAGGACU
This 219-nucleotide long non-coding RNA is filed under the name Elaeis guineensis (African oil palm). RNAcentral's name for it is "long non-coding RNA (EGUI_LNC066435)". The record is from RNAcentral. Lineage: Eukaryota; Viridiplantae; Streptophyta; Magnoliopsida; Arecales; Arecaceae.